CGUUGGAAGUGCUGGUGCUCUACAGAGGCUGCAGCUGCAUCCCAGAGUGACACAGCAUGCACACUCACUGUUUUUUUGUUUUUUGUUUUUGCCAGUCUCCCCUCCCCAAGAAGCACUUUGUGCAACCUGGAAAUAGGUACCUCAGGGCUGGCUGCACAGCCCUCAAGGACCUACUUCCAGGUUGCAGGGAAUGGGGCCCUAGUGGUAGGUCAUCUGCUUUGCAUGCAGGAGGUCCUGGGCUCAAUCCUUGGCAUCUUCCGUUAGGGCUGGGAAAGACUUCUGCCUGAAACCUUGGAAAGUUGUUGCCAGUCAGUACAGACAAUGCUGAGUUAGGUGGAUCCAUGGUCUUACUCAGUCCAAGGCAGUUCCUAUGUUUAUGUAUGUUCUGGGAAGAAGGGAGAUGCAUACAUAAAAUAAAUAGGAUUGGGCUGCUAGUUCUUCUCUUGCUUUAUAUUGGAUUCAGAACUGCACCAUCAAAUUACUGUAAGAAAUUCAAACUUUGUACUGACCCGGAAGCAAAAAAGAAAAGGAAAGUGAUAGUUCUGUUGUGCUGGGGACUCAUGAAAAGUGAACAGCAUAGUUGGUGAAACAUUAUGUUGGUCAGAGCCCCCACCCCCCAAAUCCAAAUCUCUUUUUUAUUUGACAACGUCCCUCUUGAUAUUCAACAAUAUAAUUUCUGAUCUGUGUUCAUGACAGACUGCAAAAUGAUUUUCAGAGAGGAAUGUGGGACUCCAUGGCUACUGCUGCUGGUUUUGCAAAUGAUGUCACUUUUCAGCAAGAUGACCACAGGCAGCAGGGGGCUAAGAAGAAAUUGCAUUUCCCAGGACCCCUGCAGACAACCCCUUGAAUGAUAUAGGACAUCCCAUCCCUCAGUUCUGCAAGAAUCUAUUCUUUUCAAGUAGGGCCGGAAACCUGGAAAAAUUGUCUUUCUUUUGGUUACACCCUCGGCGGUCUUUCCCAUAUAAUGCCUAACCUGAAAAAACAGAAACAGUAGAACUCUCCGACCUUCUCUACUAGGCUGGCAGGACUCCUGGACUUCCGAUAUGAGUUUCAGGAAACAUAAUGCUCCCACUCCUUCUUCUCCCACAGGCCUGCCUCCAUAUUUCACUGUCAAAAUGCAGUCCAACCUUGCUGUUGACAGAUGCUAACACUAAUUAGGAUCCCUCUUAACUGGGAUUUGCAGAUCAGUUUGAUAUCCGGGUUAGAAUGGGGACCCUGGGCAAGCAUUAACCAUGUUCAAGGUAGGUGCAGAUGUAAUCUAUGUAGUGUGAACCUAUGGAUAUUUAUUAUAUGUAACUUUUUUUGUGUUUAAUUGGGCUUGUUCCCAAGUAAGUUUGCUUAGGACUGGAAGGACAUGCAGGGCAAAUUCAUGUAUGAGAAGGGAAGGGAUGGGGGGAAGGAGCGCAUAAUCCUGUGGUGGACCAUCCCCCCCCCCCAAAGUAUUACAAGUGAAGUCAGGCAUAAUAGAAAAAGAGAACUCACUGGGUACACUCAGUCAUGGGGGUGAGCUCUUUUUGAAACUGAAAUGACAGACAUACUUAUUUCUGACUCAAGGCAUUGGCUCAGCUAUCGAUCUUGCCCCUUACAUACUUCAGGUAAAAUGUCUUACUCUCUCUUGUUAUUUUAAAAAGUGUUGCAUUCAUGCUUAUGUGUUUAUCCAGGACCUAACGUAAAUAUACAUAAACGUAAAUAUAUAAUGUAAAUAUACAGCUGCCUUGCAGAAUGGAAAAGCAACAUAAUACUUAACCUCUGGGAAAGGCAACAUCAUACUGUAUGUUCAGUCAUGUUUUUUCAAGCUCAACUCUGGAGAGGAAUAUGUACAUUUGGACUGUAUACAUGUGAUGAUGGCAUUUCCAGAUCAGCCCUACACUGCCCCAUGCAUAUCACAUCUGUCUUCUGUCUAAGACCUCAGGCUCAUGCAAAAACACCACUGCUCAGAGAUUCCUACUAGCUUCUGACAGGGUCUCUCAGUUUGUGAUUCAGUUAUUCUUUCUGCCUCUCCCCAGACUUAAUAAUUCAGAAGACCUCCAUGCUCUUCUCCUCACACAUAAGAGUACUUCACGUCAGAAAAAAUUAUAUGCAUUCCACUACACAAUACUCUGAAAUGGUUGAAAACAGUAUGGUCACCUGUACACGAAAUUGAUUUUGCAUUUUGUUUCAAGCUUGAAACAAAAUGCAGACGGCUGAAACAUUUUGUCAAAACAGCAGUUGAUGCAGUUGUUUUGACAGAACAAACCUCAAAACAUUUUGAGUGUUUUGGCCAUGGUGAACAAUCCUAUCAUAGGAUAGGAUCCCUACAUUUUGAAACUCCCUCCUUUCAGCUCCCCCUCCCACCCCCCACAGCCAAUGGGGGCACAGUUGCCCAUGGCAACACUUGAUUUGUGUGAUAAAAAGCCAACCAAGAACAAGGAGAUUGCAAGCCAAUCAGAAGCCAGAGCCAGAAAAGCAACCAGCAAGGAGGAAAAAGGCCUCCAAAAUGGUGCUCGAGAUGUCAAAAUGUUUCAGUCAAAACAGGAUUGUUUUGUUCUGAGCUCAAAACAGGUCCUCUAUUUAAAGGGUGUUCUGUUUCGAGUUCAGGGCACUCAAAACAGCCAAUUUUGAGUUGAAAUGUUUUGAUGUCGAAAUGUUUUGCACAUCCCUAAUCACCUGCAGUCUAGGUUUCUUGCAAAUGCACAGUUGUGCAACUCUACUUGAACAAAAGAGACGUACACACACACACACACACACACACACAGAGCAUGCAUCCAGAGGACAGUGACCCUGUUAUCCAGCUUAACAGACACAUAUAAAAAAGGAAAAGUCCCCAUAUAGACAAGAAGCAGAGGUCAACCAAAAGGCAAAUGUGAGCAAUACAAAACUAAACUGCCCAACCCGAUCCAACCCAAAAACACAGCAGUGCAAGCCUAGACACAGACGGUGUCUCCCUUCUCCUCCUUCCAAGUUCUUAAUGUUGGGCAGCUUGAAGGUGGGGCGGGGGAGACAUGAAAGAAAAGGAAAGGACUUCUGUAGCCUCAAGUUACUUUCAAGAAGUGCCCUCAUUCAAAAAUAAUCUGAACAGCUCUGGCAGAGUGUGUGGGUGGGAGGCAGGAGUGGGGAAGGUUGUUAGCAUACUGCAGCUUCCAGGCUGUAUUUUUAGGGCUGGCAUUUAGACUUGGCUCAGGUACAAAUGGCCAAGAAAUGUAUGGCAUUUCCACUUCCUGCCAGUUGAUAUGCUGCGUGCGUGUAUGUAACAUCCUAACUUAGAGGAGUAAUUUGCUCCAUCAGGUAGCACAUGAUACAGGUGUAGGCUCCUGUUUAAUUGUUCGUUCUCUGGCCUGCUUCUUACUGAACUGGUAAACCUCUUUAUGGACUGUACCACUUUGGAGUGUAAGGUGAGGGCUCACAUGAUUGAAUGCUGCUCCACAAAUAAAAAUCAGUACACACAGAGGCGCUUCACACGAUUGCUGUGAAGUGCCUCAAUGUCGUCUGCUGGGAGAGCGAGCUUAACCCACUCUCCCCGCAGAUGAUCGGCAGCGAAGAUUUGGGCAGCCGAAUC
Long non-coding RNA from Hemicordylus capensis (graceful crag lizard), 3535 nucleotides. RefSeq lists it as uncharacterized. The record is from RefSeq and is a predicted model, not a curated record. Lineage: Eukaryota; Metazoa; Chordata; Lepidosauria; Squamata; Cordylidae. The transcript is spliced from 4 exons.